This 138-nucleotide ribosomal RNA is filed under the name uncultured bacterium. RNAcentral describes it as "partial 16S rRNA". It matches the Rfam family "Bacterial small subunit ribosomal RNA", at positions 355 to 510 of the family's 1533-position model. The record is from RNAcentral.
UGGGGAAUAUUGGACAAUGGGCGAAAGCCUGAUCCAGCAAUGCCGCGUGUGUGAAGAAGGUCUUCGGAUUGUAAAGCACUUUCGACGGGGACGAUGAUGACGGUACCCGUAGAAGAAGCCCCGGCUAACUUCGUGCCA